CAAUUUAAACAACGAAGAGUUUGAUCCUGGCUCAGGAUGAACGCUAGCGACAGGCUUAACACAUGCAAGUCGAGGGGCAGCACAGGUAGCAAUACCGGGUGGCGACCGGCGCACGGGUGAGUAACGCGUAUGCAACUUACCUAUCAGAGGGGGAUAACCCGGCGAAAGUCGGACUAAUACCGCAUGAAGCAGGGGCCCCGCAUGGGGAUAUUUGCUAAAGAUUCAUCGCUGAUAGAUAGGCAUGCGUUCCAUUAGGCAGUUGGCGGGGUAACG
This 273-nucleotide ribosomal RNA is filed under the name Parabacteroides distasonis. Its description in RNAcentral is "partial 16S ribosomal RNA". It matches the Rfam family "Bacterial small subunit ribosomal RNA", at positions 1 to 262 of the family's 1533-position model. The record is from RNAcentral. Lineage: Bacteria; Pseudomonadati; Bacteroidota; Bacteroidia; Bacteroidales; Tannerellaceae.